RNAcentral lists this small nuclear RNA (106 nucleotides) under Sus scrofa (pig). Lineage: Eukaryota; Metazoa; Chordata; Mammalia; Artiodactyla; Suidae. RNAcentral also lists the same sequence under 1 other name. The record is from RNAcentral.
GUGCUUGCUUCAGCAGCACAUAUACUAAAAUUGGAAUGAUGCAGAGAGGAUUAGCAUGGCCCUGAGCAAGGAUGACACACAAAUUCAUGAAGCGUUCCAUAUUUUU